UCUACGGGAGGCAGCAGUAGGGAAUAUUGCUCAAUGGGGGAAACCCUGAAGCAGCAACGCCGCGUGGAGGAUGAAGGUUUUAGGAUUGUAAACUCCUUUUGUUAGAGAAGAAUAUGACGGUAUCUAACGAAUAAGCACCGGCUAACUCCGUGCCAGCAGCCGCUGGAAUACGGAGGGUGCAAGCGUUACUCGGGAUGACUGGGCGUAAAGCGUGCGUAGGCGGGGUAAGAAGUCUGAUGUGAAAUCCUGUAGCUUAACUACAGAACUGCAUUUGAAACUGGUACUCGUGAGUGUGGGAGAGGUAGGUGGAAUGCUUGGGGGAGGGGUAAAAUCCGUAGAGAUUAAGAGGAAUACUCAUUGCGAAGGCGGCAUGCUGGAACAUUACUGACGCUGAUGCACGAAAGCGUGGGGAGCAAACAGGAUUAGAUACCCCAGUAGUC
RNAcentral lists this ribosomal RNA (440 nucleotides) under uncultured bacterium. RNAcentral describes it as "partial 16S ribosomal RNA". It matches the Rfam family "Bacterial small subunit ribosomal RNA", at positions 338 to 795 of the family's 1533-position model. The record is from RNAcentral.